AUGAGAUGCCUAAGUUGGAACUGCCGGAGGCUUGGGAACCCCGAGGCAGUUCGAGAGCUUCGCAAAAUUGUGAAGCAAGAAGGGCCCGCCCUGCUCUUUGUAUCGGAAACGAAGAUUAGGGCAAAGAGGGUAGAGAUUUUGCAACACAGCUUGGGUUUUGCGGGCUGUUUUGCGGUGGAUAGCUCCGGCCUUAGUGGUGGAAUUGGCCUUUUUUGGUCAAGGGAAGUGAAAGUUAGUUUACAGAGUUUCAGUUCUGGGCACAUUGAUGUAAUGGUUCAAAAAGCUGAUUUGACAUCUUCGGAAUGGAGAAUGACGGGGUUCUAUGGAGCUCCUAGGAGUGAGGAUAAGCGCCAUAGUUGGAGGUGUCUGAGAACGUUGCAUACAAUUCCACACCUGGCUUGGCUGUGCCUUGGAGAUUUUAAUGAGACCAUGUACGGAUCAGAACACUUCAGUAGGGCUGAUCGACUGGAAUGGCAAAUGCGUGCGUUUCGGGAAGCCUUGGAAGACUGCUCUUUGCAAGACCUCGGUUUCACAGGAGUACCGUUUACAUGGGAUAAUACACAAGGGGGCGAUCUAAAUGUGAAAGCCCGUCUUGAUAGAGGAGUAGCAAAUGGUCAGUUUCUACAGAGAUUCGAGUCAGCGCAAGUUAGACAUAUCAGUGUUGUUGAAUCAGACCAUUGUUUUGUUUUGGUCCCAGGAAACACAGUUUAA
This 711-nucleotide ribosomal RNA is filed under the name Triticum aestivum (bread wheat). RNAcentral describes it as "partial small subunit ribosomal RNA". The record is from RNAcentral. Lineage: Eukaryota; Viridiplantae; Streptophyta; Magnoliopsida; Poales; Poaceae.